GACGAACGCUGGCGGUGUGCUUAACACAUGCAAGUCGAACGGAAAGGCCCUGCUUUUGUGGGGUGCUCGAGUGGCGAACGGGUGAGUAACACGUGAGUAACCUGCCCUUGACUUUGGGAUAACUUCAGGAAACUGGGGCUAAUACCGGAUAGGAGCUCCUGCUGCAUGGUGGGGGUUGGAAAGUUUCGGCGGUUGGGGAUGGACUCGCGGCUUAUCAGCUUGUUGGUGGGGUAGUGGCUUACCAAGGCUUUGACGGGUAGCCGGCCUGAGAGGGUGACCGGCCACAUUGGGACUGAGAUACGGCCCAGACUCCUACGGGAGGCAGCAGUGGGGAAUAUUGCACAAUGGGCGGAAGCCUGAUGCAGCAACGCCGCGUGCGGGAUGACGGCCUUCGGGUUGUAAACCGCUUUCGCCUGUGACGAAGCGUGAGUGGCGGUAAUGGGUAAAGAAGCACCGGCUAACUACGUG
RNAcentral lists this ribosomal RNA (468 nucleotides) under uncultured bacterium. RNAcentral's name for it is "partial 16S ribosomal RNA". It matches the Rfam family "Bacterial small subunit ribosomal RNA", at positions 28 to 507 of the family's 1533-position model. The record is from RNAcentral.